Molecule: ribosomal RNA, 1419 nt
Filed under: Triticum aestivum (bread wheat)
Lineage: Eukaryota; Viridiplantae; Streptophyta; Magnoliopsida; Poales; Poaceae
Description: partial small subunit ribosomal RNA
Source: RNAcentral
AUGUCGCGCCUCCAUCCCCGCUACUUCUCCAGCUCCGUCUCCUCACUCGCCGACGAGCUGCUGAGCGAAUUCCAGCAUCAUCUGGGCUCAGGGACGCUCAGUCCGCAGCUCGCACACCAACUGUUCGACGGCUUGCUGCGCCAACCAGUCCCAGUAUCAGCGCGUGCACUCAAUGGCUUAUUUGCUGCCCUCGCGCGAACGCCGCCCUCCACCACCUGCGCAGAUGGCCCUGCCCGCGCCAUCGAUCUCUUCAACCGCAUGGCCCGAGCAGGCCGCCGCCGCAGGGUGAUAGCACCCACCAGUCACACCUACAGCAUACUAAUUGAAUGCUGCUGCCUUGCACGCCGUCCGGACCUUGGGCCUUCCUUCUUCGCUCACCUCCUCAAGACAGGCGUCACGGCAGACGUCGUCAUCUUCAGUGGCUUAUUCAAGUGCCUUUGUGACAUGAAGCGCACGGAGGAGGCUCUGGAUGUGCUGCUUCAUAGGGUGCCUCACGACCUGCCUAAUGUCAUCUCCUACUCACUCAGUCAUGGACUACUUUGCAAGCAUGGAAGAAUCAAAGAAGCUGAGGAAAUAUUUUAUUCCAUGGCCGUGAAUGGCCGAAAACCAGAUAUAGUCUCAUACCCUAUUAUGCUCCAUGGGUAUGCUAUAGAAGGAUCCCUUGUUAAAAUGAUUGAUCUCUGUGAGCUGAUGGCAGGAGAUCGUAUCAUACCCAACGUCCGUUGUUUCAACAUACUGAUUAAUGCAUAUGCUAAGCAUGGCAUGAUGGAUGUGGCCAUGCUUUUCUUUGAAGAGAUGUUGAAGCAGGGUGUGAACCCUAAUGAAUUCACUUAUUUAACUGUAAUAUCUGCAUUUUGCAAGAUGGGCAGGAUGGAUGAUGCUAUGCAAAAGUUCAAUGAGAUGAUUGAUAUGGGAGUACCACCUGACACAGAAGUUUACAUGUGCAUGGUUGAGGGUUAUUUGAAUCAUGUUGACUCCAUGAAAGCCAACAAAUUUAUUACCAAAAUGAAGAACAGGGAUAUUCAUCAUAGGCCGCGGAAAGAUGUGCAAUCUCUGUGGUUGUUCUACCAUAGAUCCAUCUAUCCUUCCCAAAGUAGGCAGCAUUUCCAUUCCCAGCCUUCAUCUGAAGCAAGCAGAAAGAUUAAUGCUGACAAGAUCCCCGAGCCGAGGACUGACACGAUUGGCGAGCAGUUUAGAGAAGAGUUUCAGGGAACUAUGGACAAGGUUGAUGGGGCGUCAGAUAUCUUCGGGAUCAAGAUAGCACGCCAGUCAGGGGAUGUUGGUGGUGUCGAUGACCAUGACCUGCGCGCCGGGGCGGAUCCCAUCUAUCAGCGUGAGCACGCCGCAGCAGCCCACCUCGCCGUGCGUCUUCUCGUGGUUGGGCGCGAUGGCGUCGACCUCGUCCAUGAAGAUGAUUGA